UUGAAAACCUAAACUAAGCCUAACGGCAGAACCGAUUCAGUCAGAUCUCUGAAUCUGAGUCACAUCAAUCACCAACAACACCAGAUCUCUCGAUCUACCCGAAGAACACUGCUUCAGAUUCAAUUUAUCAUGUUAAUUCGAUGUGUUGGUAGGUAAUUGAAGAAGGUAAAGUGAUGUCAUACGAAAUUGUUUUUGAGUUUUUUAUGGAUCUGCAGCUGAAUUCGGUGCCUCGCGUAGCUUUCUUUUAUUUUGAUUUCUAACUACAGCCAUAGCAUCAAUUUUUAUUACUCUUCCUUGGCUGAAGGAAGUUUACUAUGCCCAAAAUGGCCUGUCUAUGUCUAUCUUUUUAGGUUACUAUUCUCUUUUAUACUUUUUAGUUUGGUUUAGUAUGUGAGGUUUAUUUGUUGUUAUAUAUGCUUUGUAAUGGACUUGUAUCUUCAUUCCGGAGAACUAUUUUAAAUAAUUGUAAUGGGACUAAAAACCUUCAAAGAAUGACACUAAAAACAUAACCUUUUAAUUGUCUAAUAAUACGAAAAAUUUUGUUUAAUGCUAAUAAUUUGUUAGACACGAUGCAGAGUUGAAGACAAAGGAAGGGAAAUUAUUUUAAGAAAAUAAAAUGAGAAAUUCCAACCAGUAUCUAACCUUUCUUCCUGACCCUCUUAACCUUAUCCAAUGCCCCCAUCAAACCCCAUCCAGCCAUCCGCACCAACGCCAUCAUUAACAUCAAAAUUGUAACGACUAUGGAGUGGCAAACGGUAGAAAGAUAGGGAAGAUAAGGGCGAUAUAGGAAAAAUGCAAAUAACAAUUGUGUACAAAAGAUGGAUAGAAAUGCAAACUACUUCGAAGCAAAAGAGAUGUACUUGAUCUUUAAAGCCAGCGGGGAGAUUGUGGAAGUAGUAAUUCCACCACUGAGGAAUAGAACUAUAGAAGUGGAAAGAAAUAUGGAUUCUAGAAGAAAGAAUGAUAAUGAUGACAAUAAGGCUAGAUUAACAUCUUCAUUCGGAGUAGGAAAAUACAUGCAAAUCUUUGGUGUCUUUUUUUUUAUAGAGAUGGACAGUAGUAUUUCAUAGUGAGGCAUAGUAAGAUAUCAAUGUUCUUUGAUGAUUUGAUGAUGGCUUCGUCAAUUUGUUUUGGCUCAAUUUGUGAAACAAAAGUCAUAUGAUUAUAUAGUCCUCAUGUUCUUAAAAUAGACUUUCUUUAAUUGA
Molecule: long non-coding RNA, 1205 nt
Organism: Vicia villosa (hairy vetch)
Lineage: Eukaryota; Viridiplantae; Streptophyta; Magnoliopsida; Fabales; Fabaceae
Exons: 2
Source: RefSeq, a predicted model, not a curated record